GCUUGAGGACAAGACAGUUUCCUAAACAGUUUUGUAAGCAGUAUAUAAGCAGUUUCCUUGUAUAAUUUGAUUGGGUUCAAGAGAAAUUUAAUGUUGGGCUCAAUGUUCCAACAAAUAUAACAAAACAGGAAGCCAACAACUGACCGCCAAAAUUGAAUUCUGGGUGCCAAUUUGUAUUGUUGGACAAAGGCUAUAUAAACCAAUGAAGAGGGAGCCUGCUGGCCAUAAGCUGCAUUUAGAUUUAAUGAAGAAAUGAUGUAGUCAUUUAACAAUUGACUUUUAGAAGAGGAGUGGGACAAAAUUCUAGUUGGCAUACACAAUUUUUUGUGUCUCUUUCAAGAAUAACAACUGAGAUCAAUGGAUGAUCUAUAAACCUAGCUGCGC
Long non-coding RNA from Saccostrea cuccullata (small rock oyster), 384 nucleotides. RefSeq lists it as uncharacterized. The transcript is spliced from 2 exons. The record is from RefSeq and is a predicted model, not a curated record. NCBI's taxonomy places the organism in Eukaryota, Metazoa, Mollusca, Bivalvia, Ostreida, Ostreidae.